UACGAAGGGGGCUAGCGUUGUUCGGAAUUACUGGGCGUAAAGCGCACGUAGGCGGACAUUUAAGUCAGGGGUGAAAUCCCGGGGCUCAACCCUGGAACUGCCUUUGAUACUGGGUGUCUUGAGUACGAGAGAGGUGAGUGGAAUUCCGAGUGUAGAGGUGAAAUUCGUAGAUAUUCGGAAGAACACCAGUGGCGAAGGCGGCUCACUGGCUCGUAACUGACGCUGAGGUGCGAAAGCGUGGGGAGCAAACAGG
RNAcentral lists this ribosomal RNA (253 nucleotides) under uncultured bacterium. Its description in RNAcentral is "partial 16S ribosomal RNA". It matches the Rfam family "Bacterial small subunit ribosomal RNA", at positions 524 to 776 of the family's 1533-position model. The record is from RNAcentral.